UCUCCCAACCCUUGUACCAGAGUCCAUCAGAGACCCGGUACGGGCUGUGGGGGACGGGGAGUCGGGGCU
MicroRNA precursor from Monodelphis domestica (gray short-tailed opossum), 69 nucleotides. Ensembl annotates it as mdo-mir-150. Its record names the gene mdo-mir-150. Lineage: Eukaryota; Metazoa; Chordata; Mammalia; Didelphimorphia; Didelphidae. The record is from Ensembl.